GUCUAUGGCCAUACCACCCUGAACAUGCCCGAUCUCAUCUGGUCUUGGAAGCUGAGCAGGGCUGGGUCUGGUUAGUACUCGGGUGGGAGGACUGUGAGUGCCGCCACACAUC
This 112-nucleotide ribosomal RNA is filed under the name Prolemur simus (greater bamboo lemur). Lineage: Eukaryota; Metazoa; Chordata; Mammalia; Primates; Lemuridae. The record is from RNAcentral.